This 549-nucleotide ribosomal RNA is filed under the name uncultured bacterium. Its description in RNAcentral is "bacterial SSU rRNA". It matches the Rfam family "Bacterial small subunit ribosomal RNA", at positions 356 to 896 of the family's 1533-position model. The record is from RNAcentral.
AGGGAAUCUUCCGCAAUGGGCGAAAGCCUGACGGAGCAACGCCGCGUGAGUGAUGAAGGUCUUCGGAUCGUAAAACUCUGUUAUUAGGGAAGAACAAAUGUGUAAGUAACUGUGCACGUCUUGACGGUACCUAAUCAGAAAGCCACGGCUAACUACGUGCCAGCAGCCGCGGUAAUACGUAGGUGGCAAGCGUUAUCCGGAAUUAUUGGGCGUAAAGCGCGCGUAAGCGGUUUCUUAAGUCUGAUGUGAAAGCCCACGGCUCAACCGUGGAGGGUCAUUGGAAACUGGGAAACUUGAGUGCAGAAGAGGAAAGUGGAAUUCCAUGUGUAGCGGUGAAAUGCGCAGAGAUAUGGAGGAACACCAGUGGCGAAGGCGACUUUCUGGUCUGUAACUGACGCUGAUGUGCGAAAGCGUGGGGAUCAAACAGGAUUAGAUACCCUGGUAGUCCACGCCGUAAACGAUGAGUGCCAAGUGUUAGGGGGUUUCCGCCCCUUAGUGCUGCAGCUAACGCAUUAAGCACUCCGCCUGGGGAGUACGACCGCAAGGUUG